Molecule: ribosomal RNA, 273 nt
Filed under: uncultured bacterium
Lineage: Bacteria
Description: partial 16S ribosomal RNA
Rfam family: Bacterial small subunit ribosomal RNA
Source: RNAcentral
UACGUAGGGGGCAAGCGUUGUCCGGAAUUAUUGGGCGUAAAGAGCUCGUAGGCGGUCCGUUAAGUCAGAAGUGAAAUCUCAGGGCUCAACCCUGAAAUUGCUUCUGAUACUGGCGGACUUGAGGUAGGUAGGGGAAGGUGGAAUUCCUGGUGUAGCGGUGAAAUGCGCAGAUAUCAGGAGGAACACCGGUGGCGAAGGCGGCCUUCUGGGCCUUACCUGACGCUGAGGAGCGAAAGCGUGGGGAGCGAACAGGAUUAGAAACCCCAGUAGUCC